AGAGUUUGAUCCUGGCUCAGGACGAACGCUGGCGGCAGGCUUAACACAUGCAAGUCGAACGAGAAGCUCACUUCGGUGAGUGGAAAGUGGCAGACGGGUUAGUAACGCGUGGGAACGUGCCCUUCGGUACAGAACAACAGUUAGAAAUGACUGCUAAUACUGUAUACGACCUCCGGGUGAAAGAUUUAUCGCCGAAGGAUCGGCCCGCGUUAGAUUAGCUUGAUGGUGGGGUAAAGGCCUACCAUGGCGACGAUCUAUAGCUGUUCUGAGAGGAAGAUCAGCAACACUGGGACUGAGACACGGCCCAGACUCCUACGGGAGGCAGCAGUGGGGAAUAUUGGACAAUGGGCGCAAGCCUGAUCCAGCCAUGCCGCGUGGAUGAAGAAGGCCCUAGGGUUGUAAAAUCCUUUCGCUAGGGAAGAUAAUGACGGUACCUAGACAAGAAGCCCCGGCUAAUUUCGUGCCAGCAGCCGCGGUAAUACGAAAGGGGCUAGCGUUGUUCGGAAUUACUGGGCGUAAAGCGCACGUAGGCGGCCUUGUAAGUUGGGGGUGAAAUCCCGGAGCUCAACUCCGGAACUGCCUCCAAAACUACAAAGCUA
RNAcentral lists this ribosomal RNA (599 nucleotides) under uncultured Alphaproteobacteria bacterium. Its description in RNAcentral is "bacterial SSU rRNA". It matches the Rfam family "Bacterial small subunit ribosomal RNA", at positions 8 to 643 of the family's 1533-position model. The record is from RNAcentral. Lineage: Bacteria; Pseudomonadati; Pseudomonadota; Alphaproteobacteria.